RNAcentral lists this ribosomal RNA (495 nucleotides) under uncultured bacterium. Its description in RNAcentral is "partial 16S ribosomal RNA". It matches the Rfam family "Bacterial small subunit ribosomal RNA", at positions 28 to 507 of the family's 1533-position model. The record is from RNAcentral.
GACGAACGCUGGCGGCGUGCCUAAUACAUGCAAGUAGAACGCUGAAGGAGGAGCUUGCUUCUCUGGAUGAGUUGCGAACGGGUGAGUAACGCGUAGGUAACCUGCCUGGUAGCGGGGGAUAACUAUUGGAAACGAUAGCUAAUACCGCAUAAUAGUAGAUGUUGCAUGACAUUUGCUUAAAAGGUGCAAUUGCAUCACUACCAGAUGGACCUGCGUUGUAUUAGCUAGUUGGUGGGGUAACGGCUCACCAAGGCGACGAUACAUAUCCGACCUGAGAGGGUGAUCGGCCACACUGGGACUGAGACACGGCCCAGACUCCUACGGGAGGCAGCAGUAGGGAAUCUUCGGCAAUGGACGGAAGUCUGACUGAGCAACGCCGCGUGAGUGAAGAAGGGUGUCGGAUCGUAAAGCUCUGUUGUAAGAGAAGAACGAGUGUGAGAGUGGAAAGUUCACACUGUGACGGUAUCUUACCAGAAAGGGACGGCUAACUACGUG